Molecule: ribosomal RNA, 253 nt
Filed under: uncultured bacterium
Lineage: Bacteria
Description: partial 16S ribosomal RNA
Rfam family: Bacterial small subunit ribosomal RNA
Source: RNAcentral
UACAGGGGGUGCAAGCGUUAAUCGGAAUUACUGGGCGUAAAGCGUGCGCAGGCGGCUUUGCAAGACAGAUGUGAAAUCCCCGGGCUUAACCUGGGAACUGCAUUUGUGACUGCAUGGCUAGAGUGCGGCAGAGGGGGAUGGAAUUCCGCGUGUAGCAGUGAAAUGCGUAGAUAUGCGGAGGAACACCGAUGGCGAAGGCAAUCCCCUGGGCCUGCACUGACGCUCAUGCACGAAAGCGUAAGGAGCAAACAGG